AGUGAACGCUGGCGGUAGGCCUAACACAUGCAAGUCGAACGGCAGCACAGUAAGAGCUUGCUCUUACGGGUGGCGAGUGGCGGACGGGUGAGGAAUACAUCGGAAUCUACUUUUUCGUGGGGGAUAACGUAGGGAAACUUACGCUAAUACCUCAUACGACCUACGGGUGAAAGCAGUGGAUCUUCGGACCUUGCGCGAUUGAAUGAGCCGAUGUCGGAUUAGCUAGUUGGCGGGGUAAAGGCCCACCAAGGCGACGAUCCGUAGCUGGUCUGAGAGGAUGAUCAGCCACACUGGAACUGAGACACGGUCCAGACUCCUACGGGAGGCAGCAGUGGGGAAUAUUGGACAAUGGGCGCAAGCCUGACCGAGCCAUACCGCGUGGGUGAAGAAGGCCUUCGGGUUGUAAAGCCCUUUUGUUGGGAAAGAAAAGAAGCAGGUUAAUACCCGGAUGUUCUGACGGUACCCAAAGAAAAAGCACCGGCUAACUUCGUG
RNAcentral lists this ribosomal RNA (492 nucleotides) under uncultured bacterium. Its description in RNAcentral is "partial 16S ribosomal RNA". It matches the Rfam family "Bacterial small subunit ribosomal RNA", at positions 29 to 507 of the family's 1533-position model. The record is from RNAcentral.